This 252-nucleotide ribosomal RNA is filed under the name uncultured bacterium. RNAcentral's name for it is "partial 16S ribosomal RNA". It matches the Rfam family "Bacterial small subunit ribosomal RNA", at positions 524 to 776 of the family's 1533-position model. The record is from RNAcentral.
UACGAAGGGGGCUAGCGUUGUUCGGAAUACUGGGCGUAAAGCGUGCGCAGGCGGUUUUGUAAGCCAGAUGUGAAAUCCCCGGGCUUAACCUGGGAAUGGCAUUUGGGACUGCAAGGCUGGAGUGUGGCAGAGGGGACUGGAAUACUUGGUGUAGCAGUGAAAUGCGUAGAUAUCAAGUGGAACACCAGUGGCGAAGGCGAGUCCCUGGACAACUCCUGACACUGAGGCACGAAAGCUAGGGGAGCAAACAGG